Physcomitrium patens is the source of this 4247-nucleotide non-coding RNA. The record is from RefSeq and is a predicted model, not a curated record. NCBI's taxonomy places the organism in Eukaryota, Viridiplantae, Streptophyta, Bryopsida, Funariales, Funariaceae.
UCAUGGAUUUUACUAUCUUUACAUCCAACCAAGUAUUGAAGAAACAUUAAGAAACCAUGCAUCCUCAAGAGACCAAUGCUCACAAUCAAGCAUGGGUGAUCGCAAGCAAUGACUUAAAGUAUGGUCUUAGGUGUUGCCAACAGUAGGUCCAACGGCCUACUGGGCUGUCUUGGUCUCAGUACAAGUUCCACUGUGUCUCAAUCAUUUGCCUUGGUAGAAUGGACCAUUUGCUUGAUAGCAUAUUAUAGAAACAACUUUAUCCUAAAGGAACUGGGGCUUGGAGUGGAGCCUCAGCAAAGCUACUAUGGAGUAGGUAGGUGUUGCUGGGCCCAGCUUCUAUCAGCCAUAUGAUGGGGUAGUUGGUAGAAACCACUUUUCUUAGAGAGGGAGGGAAGCACCAACAUUAGUGCUGGUGCAGGAAGCACUAACAUUGCCCACCUUUUCAGCAUGGAAAGAGGCCUUAAUGGCAAGCACAACUUUGCCUAGAGCGCAGGCCCAGGCUUCGAUGAUGAUUGAUGCCGGAAUUAAUGCCUUCUCUCCUCUUGUACGUGGAAAAUCUCAAACACAAUCCGAGUUUGAUGCCUCCAUGCACCAAUUUUCUCGUACUCUUCAGCACCACUAUCAUCCUCCUCACGCUCAUGCAUUAUUUGCUGCUUUCUCCGGCAUCUUAAAUGCACGCCACGGAUUGAAGAUUGCGACGAAGACGAUGAUGAGGUUGAAGAAGAAGCAGAAGUGAAAUCAUACUUGAAAACCCAGCUUCGUGAAAACCAAAACCCAUCAUCCAACCAAGACAUGACUCCUGCACAAGGUUUGUGCGGGACUUCUGUUUCGCGUGGAGCUGAGUGAGACUGUGUAGGUUGGCUCUAGUGUCACGGCUUGUGUGCGCAGCGGUGAUUCCGCAUUGACCAUCUGCUGAGAGGAGAACUUGGAAACCUUUCCUGUUGGUCACACAUGGCAACUCAAGGCUAUCUCUGCGAAUUGAAAAUUCGAGAUACUUAUCAUCAUGGAAGGUAUGUGACGCGUCCCUUUGCCCACCUCGCUCUUGUUGCCGCCUUGACGUGCGGGUAAUAAGGCUCUUGCUUGAAUGGCAAUGCUCCGUCGUCACCACGGCUGCUUGGAGUGCACCGGCCGUCCUUGUGAUUUUUUCUUUGAAGAGAGGCAGCAGUUUGCCAUGCAUUUCUCAGGAAGGGGAGCUUUACGUGUUUUGUUGUGAAACAAAGGACGAUUCUAAAUUUGAGCCGAAGGUGUGGAUAUUUUGGCUAGAAAAUAGAUCAGGGGAGAAUCUGAGAGAAGGAAUUGAGGAGUUGUUUUUUUUUUUGAAAUUACAUUUCAUUGGAUCGACGUCGAAAUAGUUGAUGGGACAAGUAUGUUUCAGAAUUAUUGUUGCCAAUCUGGAUUUUAUGCACGUUUUUUUUAGUCUUGUGGUUCCUUGGAGAUGGCAUAAAUCUUAGCAACCAAGUUUGAGCUCCCAACCUAUCAAAUUUCUUACGUUUUUUGAAACAUGAUAGUUUAUAUUAUUAUUAUUAUUCUUAUUUCUUUUGUUGUACUAAUCCUCUCCAGCUUGCACCAAUCCCUCACCACCUCCAAGGUGCCAUCGAGUUGUGGGGGACAAAACAGAUUAAUACAUUGCGUUUCAUCUGGUAACUCUCUGCCUUCUUUGUUCACUUUCUUGCAUCAAGGAAGCCGGAUUGCGGAGAUAUUCUAGCAUUUUGGAACGCGGGAGUGUUGCUGUAUCUGCACUUCUGCUGAUGCCUACAUUCAACUUGUGACAGAAGCUGCUGAUGCUCCAUGCAUUUUUGUUCCUUACAAAAAAGCUAUCUCAUAUAUGCAUCUACCUUGACCAUGCUAGAUAUCGCUCACUCAUUUAGCUUCAUUACUAGGUUCUAAGACCAGUCACUUUACACCCACUAAACUACUAUUCAACAAAUAUUUUCUUCAUGGAACAAGGUAUCACAACCUUAACUACUUGACAAAUGACCCUUCUGUUUUGUAGGGUGUGACUAAAAAUUUGAUAGUGAUUUGAACAGCCAUUGAUUCCUGCACCAGCACUAAUACAACUGAAUUGGAAUCGGAAGAUGUCACUUGCAACACUUCGCAGAGCUAGGCAUCUCUCAAGUUCACCUAGGCUCCUUUCUCUGGAUAAUCAAGGAGCUGUUAAACUCGAUAAGAGCCUGGAUUUCUAUGGACGAAUCGAACACAUCCAUCGCGAUUCAAUUCUGUCAUGAACAGAAAGACAAUGGCCCUAUCCUUUUUUCUUGGGUCAAUACGGACGCUCUACAUACAAUGAUUCCUCUGAUGAGGAUUGACAUUCUUGCCCUUCACCAUUCUUGUGCGUGUGGCUAGAUUUCCUCUAUCCUUGAAAAUGAAACCAUCCAAAUCUUCCCGGUGCGCAACGCUGGUCAAGUACAUCGGUGCGUCAGUUGGAUCCACGCCAGUGUGAAUAUAACAGCACACUAGAGACCCUGAGGCAAUGCCAAGGCACUGAAACUGCUGUACAAGAAGUCCUUGGUGAAUACCACAUGAAUUUCAAACAGAAUGAACAGGAAAAAGAUCGGAAGAAGAAAAAAGGGCAAUAAAAGAUAAGUGGGCGGAUAGUUCUCAAAUGUGAUUUGGUCUGACCAAAUGAGAAGCAACAUGCUGAGACCAGAAUCAUCUCAGCAUGCUCAACAUUAUAAAUUAGAAAGCCACUUGUAAGUGGCCUAAAAAUUAAACAUUCAUUUAGGCCUAAUUGAUCACAUUACGGGGUACAGUUCACUUACUCGUGGAGGAUUCCUUGCAAGUUUAGGGUCAGGAUACUUUGAUUCUAUACCGCAGAAGAGGGUGUCAUCCGGGCACGGAGUUGGAAGGGCCGAAGGACAGUGCCUGUAAAUAAGCACCCAAGUCCAAGUUUAUCGCCUUGACCAAAGGAUAUAAAGAACUACGUGGCAAUGUACAAGUUCUCUCUCCAACAGUUCAAGACAGCUCAAACUGAUUACUGACUACCGUAAAUCUCCUCCCUUAAUCGUCACCCUAAGCACUAAAGUCGACUCAUCUGUAAUAGGAAUCAAAACUAUGGCCAACACACUGACUUCAGACACCGUCUUCGGCAUCCUGGUUACUAGGUACUCUUUCCGUAUCACUUAGUUGCAACUCCCUAUGCCAAUCAUCGUCAUUCUUGCAGCCAGUGGCACUACGCCAGCACAAAAAAAAAUCCAUUUUAUUGAAACUGGCAACUUCUUGAGUCCCUCCAUGCCCAACAGCAGCACCAAGAAUCUGGACACACCCUCGUCCCCGAUCAAAAGACGUUUCUGGCUUUGUCAAGGUGACCUCGACACCGUCUUCCAAGACACCUUCCUGUGCAACAAUGAAGCUUUUAACUUCUCCUGAAUACGAGGGCACUCGCCAGCUCGUCCGCUGUAAGGGAGAUUUGUAAAUAGAUGUGGGCCUUUAUCAGAAGCAAUGUUGGAUUGUUUGUGUUAACAACCUCCUGAUACUGCUUCUCUAACUCCUCCAGUGUUGCAUUUUCAUGAGGACUUUUCAUGGUUGUAUCUAGAGUUGAGACGUUACUAAGGAAGAGACGUUCUUAUAUGGUUCGAAAUAUGUCCCCAUAUUUACAAAGUAACGGACAUAUCAAAUAUAUCUUUCUGAGAUCCUUGGAACAUAUCAUGAGUUCCAGGGCGCCGUUCCACAACAGGGCUUUUAUUUUUCAUUUUUGCUGCUGCACCCUGUGCCAUCGUGGGUGGCAGAUCCGAGACAGUCGUAGGUGAAUUACUUCUCACCUCAGGGUCACUCAGUGAUUGAGAAGCAUCUUGAACAGAAUUCUGAACAGGUGUGUCUGCGACCACUGUUUCUUUAAACUUCAACAACAUUGUUAAUAUGUAUAAAGAAGACAGGAUUGUUCGGGUUCGGGUCCAUAAGCUCAAAUACCAAAGCGUCUCCCUCUUCGAAAUGAUGAGACUGCAAAAAUGCUCUAAAUCCUUUCAAGCAUGCACUCUUCUUUCGGUUCCCAGCCCAACGAGCUGAUGCUUUCUGGCCUGCAGAAUCCCAUAGUCACCCGAACAAGAUUUUUCGGAAGCUUUUUCCUGGAAAAUGCACUCGGAAUUGACUGCAAAAAUAGGAUUUCAAGAUUUAGCAUUUCACUGAAUUAGUUCUUAUCAGCAUUAGGAUGUCAGGAAUGUAUUGAUUGGUAGUUAAAGCUCUUAGUAUCUCCACUGUAACUUACAAUAUUGAUUUAGUACUUCGCUUCGCAAAGUUACUAAAAGCUACAA